Molecule: ribosomal RNA, 491 nt
Filed under: uncultured bacterium
Lineage: Bacteria
Description: partial 16S ribosomal RNA
Rfam family: Bacterial small subunit ribosomal RNA
Source: RNAcentral
AGUGAACGCUGGCGGUAGGCCUAACACAUGCAAGUCGAACGGCAGCACAGUAAGAGCUUGCUCUUACGGGUGGCGAGUGGCGGACGGGUGAGGAAUACAUCGGAAUCUACUUUUUCGUGGGGGAUAACGUAGGGAAACUUACGCUAAAACCGCAUACGACCUACGGGUGAAAGCAGGGGAUCUUCGGACCUUGCGCGAUUGAAUGAGCCGAUGUCGGAUUAGCUAGUUGGCGGGGUAAAGGCCCACCAAGGCGACGAUCCGUAGCUGGUCUGAGAGGAUGAUCAGCCACACUGGAACUGAGACACGGUCCAGACUCCUACGGGAGGCAGCAGUGGGGAAUAUUGGACAAUGGGCGCAAGCCUGAUCCAGCCAUACCGCGUGGGUGAAGAAGGCCUUCGGGUUGUAAAGCCCUUUUGUUGGGAAAGAAAAGCAGCAGGUUAAUACCCCGCUGUUCUGACGGUACCCAAAGAAUAAGCACCGGCGAACUUCGU